Molecule: non-coding RNA, 72 nt
Organism: Bos taurus (domestic cattle)
Lineage: Eukaryota; Metazoa; Chordata; Mammalia; Artiodactyla; Bovidae
Source: Rfam
UCCCUGGUGGUACAGUAGUUAGGAUUCAGCACUUCCACUGCUGUGACCCAGGGUCAAUCCCUGGUCAGGGAA